UACAGAGGUCUCAAGCGUUGUUCGGAAUCACUGGGCGUAAAGGGUGCGUAGGCCGCACGGUAAGUCAGAGGUGAAAUCCCGGAGCUCAACUUCGGAAUUGCCUCCGAUACUGCCGUGCUUGAGGACUGGAGAGGAGAUUGGAAUUCACAGUGGAGCAGUGAAAUGCAUAGAUAUUGUGAGGAACACUAGUGGCGAAGGCGAAUCUCUGGACAGUUCCUGACGCUGAGGCACGAAGGCCAGGGGAGCAAACGGG
This 253-nucleotide ribosomal RNA is filed under the name uncultured bacterium. RNAcentral's name for it is "partial 16S ribosomal RNA". It matches the Rfam family "Bacterial small subunit ribosomal RNA", at positions 524 to 776 of the family's 1533-position model. The record is from RNAcentral.